GUCUGCAACCCGACUACAUGAAGCUGGAAUCGCUAGUAAUCGCGGAUCAGAAUGCCGCGGUGAAUACGUUCCCGGGUCUUGUACACACCGCCCGUCACACCAUGGGAGUCGGAAAUGCCCGAAGUCUGUGACCCAACCGAAAGGAGGGAGCAGCCGAAGGCAGGUCGGAUGACUGGGGUGAAGUCGUAACAAGGUAAC
Molecule: ribosomal RNA, 198 nt
Filed under: uncultured bacterium
Lineage: Bacteria
Description: partial 16S ribosomal RNA
Rfam family: Bacterial small subunit ribosomal RNA
Source: RNAcentral